UGUGCUACGCAUGAGCAGCAUGUCACCUUCUUCAGAAUCUCCACUUAGAAAAUCUUCCUUUCAACACAAUAUGGUUCCUCACCCCAGUAGAGCAAAUUUGGGAGGCCUUGGGAGUCCAUCACGUUUUGCUCCUACUGGUCAACAGAGCCAUAGUGGAAAUCUAGCAGCAGUAUCUGUCUCUGGAACAAAUUAUAUUGCAUCUUCUCCUUGCCCUGCAGCUUCUGGUGGCACUUCUGUUUCCAGAGAUGCUGGACUACCAAGCCCAUGGAAUUAGUUAGAAAGCUUUUCGACAUUACAUCCAUUAUGUCACAUAAUCCAAUUUCUAUAUCUCUUUAAGACUGUAAAUUUGACCUUACUAACUAAAAAAAGAUUUAGUUUAGUUGGAAAAGAAGGAAGGAUUGAAAGGCUUUGUUUUUCUCUUUUUCUUUCUUUACCCUUUUCCGAUACAAGAAGCACUAUUGAAUACAGGAAUGCUUCGGUUCUGAUAUUAA
Non-coding RNA from Carica papaya (papaya), 491 nucleotides. The record is from RefSeq and is a predicted model, not a curated record. Lineage: Eukaryota; Viridiplantae; Streptophyta; Magnoliopsida; Brassicales; Caricaceae.